Molecule: ribosomal RNA, 468 nt
Filed under: uncultured bacterium
Lineage: Bacteria
Description: partial 16S ribosomal RNA
Rfam family: Bacterial small subunit ribosomal RNA
Source: RNAcentral
GACGAACGCUGGCGGCGUGCUUAACACAUGCAAGUCGAACGGAAAGGCCCUGCUUUUGUGGGGUGCUCGAGUGGCGAACGGGUGAGUAACACGUGAGUAACCUGCCCUUGACUUUGGGAUAACUUCAGGAAACUGGGGCUAAUACCGGAUAGGAGCUCCUGCUGCAUGGUGGGGGUUGGAAAGUUUCGGCGGUUGGGGAUGGACUCGCGGCUUAUCAGCUUGUUGGUGGGGUAGUGGCUUACCAAGGCUUUGACGGGUAGCCGGCCUGAGAGGGUGACCGGCCACAUUGGGACUGAGAUACGGCCCAGACUCCUACGGGCGGCCGCAGUGGGGACUCUUGCACAAUGGGCGGAAGCCUGAUGCAGCAACGCCGCGUGCGGGAUGACGGCCUUCGGGUUGUAAACCGCUUUCGCCUGUGACGAAGCGUGAGUGACGGUAAUGGGUAAAGAAGCACCGGCUCCCUACGUG